RNAcentral lists this ribosomal RNA (461 nucleotides) under uncultured bacterium. Its description in RNAcentral is "partial 16S ribosomal RNA". It matches the Rfam family "Bacterial small subunit ribosomal RNA", at positions 29 to 507 of the family's 1533-position model. The record is from RNAcentral.
ACGAACGCUGGCGGCGUGCUUAACACAUGCAAGUCGAACGGAAAGGCCCUUCGGGGUACUCGAGUGGCGAACGGGUGAGUAACACGUGGGUGAUCUGCCCUGCACUUUGGGAUAAGCCUGGGAAACUGGGUCUAAUACCGGAUAGGACCACGGCAUUCAUGUGCUGUGGUGGAAAGCUUUUGCGGUGUGGGAUGGGCCCGCGGCCUAUCAGCUUGUUGGUGGGGUAAUGGCCUACCAAGGCGACGACGGGUAGCCGGCCUGAGAGGGUGACCGGCCACACUGGGACUGAGAUACGGCCCAGACUCCUACGGGAGGCAGCAGUGGGGAAUAUUGCACAAUGGGCGCAAGCCUGAUGCAGCGACGCCGCGUGAGGGAUGACGGCCUUCGGGUUGUAAACCUCUUUCGCCAGGGACGAAGCGCAAGUGACGGUACCUGGAGAAGAAGGACCGGCCAACUACGUG